Long non-coding RNA from Magnolia sinica, 477 nucleotides. RefSeq lists it as uncharacterized. Lineage: Eukaryota; Viridiplantae; Streptophyta; Magnoliopsida; Magnoliales; Magnoliaceae. The record is from RefSeq and is a predicted model, not a curated record. The transcript has 2 exons.
UAUUCUAUUUUUCUACUUAUGAACUUUUCUCUGUAUUUGUACAACUUGUUCAAAAGCUCAUUUAUCAAGAACAAUAACAAAGCUCCUACAUGUCUUGUUGUGAAACUGCAGUAUUAUGGCCUGUUUGUAUGGGGGUGAAUUCUCUUUUUUUUUUUUUUUGUUAUCCAUAUGUAUUUUUUUUUGUUAUCCAUAAGUUGUACCUGUUAUACUCAUUGUUUCCUAUCAUGUAAUUUGGCAGAAUUUUUAUUCCGCAUUCGAGGAAGAGAGAGUUUGUGGUCCCAAGCUUAGUAUUCAGUAGAGGGUAUUGAAGACAAUGAUCUGCUAGUCGAGUCCGCCCGCAUAGUUUUAUAAAAGGGAAAAGGUUAUAUUAGACAAUAGGUUGAAUCUGGAAUGGAUGUGAAUUUUGUGUAUAUGGAUUGAAUGUGGAUGGUUUAUGAUAUGGAUUGAAUGUGAAAGAAUGUGGAUUGUUUACAAUAU